UCCCCGACAAAAGCCCCUCGUUUUUUUUACUCUGUAGGAACGUCGCCCCAAGCUGCAAACGUGGCAAGGAGUGCCUGAGGGUAAUGUCAGGAGUCAGUCUGCUGUGCAUCUGGUUCUAUCAGUACUUUUAUCUGCCUCUUCCUUCCUUCAGGGGAGUUGGAGAGAGGACAAAACCUUCAGAGCUGGUGGAAGUAAAGGCCCGCUUGUCCUGGAUCUUCCUUAAAUUAACACAGGACAACUCUAAGUUUAUCUCCUAGCUCAGGGUGAAGCUUAAUGGACUUACCAGUGUCAGCAAGGUUCUCCUUCUCUCCUGUGAUGUUUACAAACUAUGUGGUUGUUUACUGAUUCCCACCCACUGGCUGUACAGUUUGUCUUUUGAACUUAGAUGAAGAUGAAAGAACUGGAGAUAGAAAGAAACCAGCGUUUGAAACCAGCAAGAUAAAACAGCAGCUCCAAGAAAAUGGAACAACUUCUUGCAAGCGUCCCUAGUAGAGAGCAAAGAAACCUCACCAAUCUGCAAAUAAGGCAGCUCUUUGUUUACCUUAGAAGUAGGUUUCGCUCUUUGUACACUGGAACGAUAUAAAAGAGGCAAAUAACUGAGUGACAAAUCAUCUUCUUCCUUGAGGAACAGCCGCUUUCCACAUGGCUGUCUGAAGAACUGCAUUGUAAGCUGAGAAAGGAGAAGAAGAAGGGAUUGGACAUUACACAAAAUCUGCGUAGCUCAUGAACAGCAACAGCUAAGCUCUGUGAUAAAACAUGUGAACAUCAGGUCCUACAUUUGUGGGUCUCCAUUCUCGCCCAAACAUAAUGCCUGUGACUUGCCAGUUACACUAUAUUUUGCAAACUCAUUUAACCGGAUAGUUUUACUACUGCUUUUGGGGGGUAGAAUGAGCAAGCAACAGCAGUAAAGUCAACUAAAUAUACUUAAGAAGUUAACAUCUCAAAUGAUAUGCACAGAUUUUCCUUAUGAUUGAGUUUCAGCAGUAAUGUACAUUCUUAAAAUACUUUAAAGUUUGGCUCAAAACCUAGUAAGUUCAAGCAUAGAACAGUAGAGUAUUAAAAUGCAAGUGCAAAUUCUCUUCAUGCUCUGUCAUAAAUAAAGCCAAUAUAGGUCCUAUUUCCCUUUACAGAUAGUAAGGAAAUGCUGCUUGCUCUUAUGACACCUCUACACAGUCACUUCUCAAAUGUUUUUACUUCAUUAAAAAAAAAAAA
This is a non-coding RNA of Meleagris gallopavo (turkey), 1212 nucleotides long. The record is from RefSeq and is a predicted model, not a curated record. NCBI's taxonomy places the organism in Eukaryota, Metazoa, Chordata, Aves, Galliformes, Phasianidae.